CUUGAAUAUGUUGAUAAUAAAAACUCCAUAAGCAUUUACAAAUUUUUCUUGCAUUAAAUAGCGAAACGCCAAGUACCAUUAAUUUGUGAAAGGUGUUUCUUAUAGAAACCAGAAACAUUUGCUCAAGCAAAAUCAUGUUAUGAAUCAAAAGAGAUAGAAGGAAAAAUGGGUAAAUGGGGGAAAUAUUCAAGGCCAGAUAAAAGACAAUGCGAGCAGGAAACUCUAUUUCGAGGAAUUACUACGUUGAACACCUGAACACCAUACGGAAGCAAAAAGAAUUGAUGUUGACUAGCUAUGUUGCUAUGCAUACUUCAAUAAGAAGUAUUGAUCAUUUAACAGAUAUAGUAAAUGAAUUAACCAUUAACAAAUUAUCUUCAGCUUCAUAGAACAAAGUGUUUAGCAUUAAUCAAAUUUGUUAUAUAUAUGUUAUAUUAUUGGUCAUAGCUUGCAACUGUGUGCUUCAAAGGUCUCUCUCAGAAAUAUUUUCUAAUGAAGUAGAAUUUCUUCUAAGAAAUUUCUAAGAAAAACAUAUAACUGGUUUACAAAUAGUGCUAUUCGGGUUAGUAAAUAUAAAGAUAUUUAUUGCCUCAUAAAUACUGAUGAUUCAAAUUUCAGAAAAUUUUGAUAUAAAAUAUUAAGAUAAGAUAUUAGGAUUAAGAUAAAAUUUUUAACUAGUAUUUACAGCUUGAAACGUUCUUUUCAUUAAAUGCAGACAAAGAAAAAUGCCAUACAGCAAAACUUUUGAGUGAUGCACAUAGCCACACAUACAGGGUGAUUUAAAAUUCGUCAUUCCUCUGGAGGUGUUGUCUGGCGAUGUUAUAGGA
Dendroctonus ponderosae (mountain pine beetle) is the source of this 824-nucleotide long non-coding RNA. RefSeq lists it as uncharacterized. The record is from RefSeq and is a predicted model, not a curated record. The transcript is spliced from 3 exons. Lineage: Eukaryota; Metazoa; Arthropoda; Insecta; Coleoptera; Curculionidae.